This 434-nucleotide ribosomal RNA is filed under the name uncultured Clostridium sp. RNAcentral describes it as "partial 16S ribosomal RNA". It matches the Rfam family "Bacterial small subunit ribosomal RNA", at positions 341 to 792 of the family's 1533-position model. The record is from RNAcentral. Lineage: Bacteria; Bacillati; Bacillota; Clostridia; Eubacteriales; Clostridiaceae.
ACGGAAGGCAGCAGUGGGGAAUAUUGCACAAUGGGGGAAACCCUGAUGCAGCGACGCCGCGUGAGUGAAGAAGUAUUUCGGUAUGUAAAGCUCUAUCAGCAGGGAAGAUAAUGACGGUACCUGACUAAGAAGCCCCGGCUAACUACGUGCCAGCAGCCGCGGUAAUACGUAGGGGGCAAGCGUUAUCCGGAUUUACUGGGUGUAAAGGGUGCGUAGACGGUUAGGCAAGUCAGAUGUGAAAGCCCGGGGCUCAACCCCGGGACUGCAUUUGAAACUGCUUAACUAGAGUGCAGGAGAGGUAAGUGGAAUUCCUAGUGUAGCGGUGAAAUGCGUAGAUAUUAGGAGGAACACCAGUGGCGAAGGCGGCUUACUGGACUGUAACUGACGUUGAGGCACGAAAGCGUGGGGAGCAAACAGGAUUAGAUACCCUGGUA